GUAGGCUGCUCAUGCGACGACGGGUAGCCGGCCUGAGAGGGCGACCGGCCACACUGGGACUGAGACACGGCCCAGACUCCUACGGGAGGCAGCAGUGGGGAAUAUUGCACAAUGGGCGAAAGCCUGAUGCAGCGACGCCGCGUGAGGGAUGACGGCCUUCGGGUUGUAAACCUCUUUCAGCAGGGAAGAAGCGAAAGUGACGGUACCUGCAGAAGAAGCGCCGGCUAACUACGUGCCAGCAGCCGCGGUAAUACGUAGGGCGCAAGCGUUGUCCGGAAUUAUUGGGCGUAAAGAGCUCGUAGGCGGCUUGUCACGUCGGAUGUGAAAGCCCGGGGCUUAACCCCGGGUCUGCAUUCGAUACGGGCUAGCUAGAGUGUGGUAGGGGAGAUCGGAAUUCCUGGUGUAGCGGUGAAAUGCGCAGAUAUCAGGAGGAACACCGGUGGCGAAGGCGGAUCUCUGGGCCAUUACUGACGCUGAGGAGCGAAAGCGUGGGGAGCGAACAGGAUUAGAUACCCUGGUAGUCCACGCCGUAAACGUUGGGAACUAGGUGUUGGCGACAUUCCACGUCGUCGGUGCCGCAGCUAACGCAUUAAGUUCCCCGCCAGGAAAAAGUCCGGAA
Molecule: ribosomal RNA, 619 nt
Filed under: Streptomyces sp.
Lineage: Bacteria; Bacillati; Actinomycetota; Actinomycetes; Kitasatosporales; Streptomycetaceae
Description: bacterial SSU rRNA
Rfam family: Bacterial small subunit ribosomal RNA
Source: RNAcentral